CCUGUGGAGCGUUACAGCAAACGCUAGUAGCCUGUCAGUAAUGACGACCAACGCGGACGCUUUGAAGCAGGAA
Molecule: non-coding RNA, 73 nt
Filed under: unclassified sequences
Description: RAGATH-18 RNA
Rfam family: RAGATH-18 RNA
About the family: Actinobacteria, Firmicutes, Fusobacteria, Thermotogae (1 example). Nearby to self-cleaving ribozyme genes
Source: Rfam by way of RNAcentral